UACGUAGGGGGCAAGCGUUGUCCGGAAUUAUUGGGCGUAAAGCGCGCGCAGGCGGUUUUUUAAGUCUGGGGUUUAAACCCGAGGCUCAACUUCGGGUCGCAUCGGAAACUGGGAGACUGGAGUGUAGGAGAGGGAAGUGGAAUUCCACGUGUAGCGGUGAAAUGCGUAGAGAUGUGGAGGAACACCAGUGGCGAAGGCGACUUCCUGGCCUAUAACUGACGCUGAGGCGCGAAAGCGUGGGGAGCAAACAGG
RNAcentral lists this ribosomal RNA (252 nucleotides) under uncultured bacterium. RNAcentral's name for it is "partial 16S ribosomal RNA". It matches the Rfam family "Bacterial small subunit ribosomal RNA", at positions 524 to 776 of the family's 1533-position model. The record is from RNAcentral.